RNAcentral lists this ribosomal RNA (498 nucleotides) under uncultured bacterium. Its description in RNAcentral is "partial 16S ribosomal RNA". It matches the Rfam family "Bacterial small subunit ribosomal RNA", at positions 27 to 507 of the family's 1533-position model. The record is from RNAcentral.
GGACGAACGCUGGCGGCGUGCCUAAUACAUGCAAGUUGAGCGCUGAAGGUUGGUACUUGUACCGACUGGAUGAGCAGCGAACGGGUGAGUAACGCGUGGGGAGUCUGCCUUUGAGCGGGGGACAACAUUUGGAAACGAAUGCUAAUACCGCAUAAAAACUUUAAACACAAGUUUUAAGUUUGAAAGAUGCAAUUGCAUCACUCAAAGAUGAUCCCGCGUUGUAUUAGCUAGUUGGUGAGGUAAAGGCUCACCAAGGCGAUGAUACAUAGCCGACCUGAGAGGGUGAUCGGCCACAUUGGGACUGAGACACGGCCCAAACUCCUACGGGAGGCAGCAGUAGGGAAUCUUCGGCAAUGGACGAAAGUCUGACCGAGCAACGCCGCGUGAGUGAAGAAGGUUUUCGGAUCGUAAAACUCUGUUGGUAGAGAAGAACGUUGGUGAGAGUGGAAAGCUCAUCAAGUGACGGUAACUACCCAGAAAGGGACGGCUAACUACGUG